UAGGGAAUCUUCCGCAAUGGACGAAAGUCUGACGGAGCAACGCCGCGUGAGUGAAGAAGGAUUUCGGUUCGUAAAACUCUGUUGUUAGGGAAGAAAAAAUGUAUAGUAACUAUAUACAAAAGAGACGGUACCUAACCAGAAAGCCACGGCUAACUACGUGCCAGCAGCCGCGGUAAUACGUAGGUGGCAAGCGUUGUCCGGAAUUAUUGGGCGUAAAGCGCGCGCAGGUGGUUUAGAAAGUCUGAUGUGAAAGCCCACGGCUCAACCGUGGAAGGUCAUUGGAAACUAAUAAACUUGAGUGCAGGAGAGAAAGGUGGAAUUCCUAGUGUAGCGGUGAAAUGCGUAGAGAUUAGGAGGAACACCGGUGGCGAAAGCGGCUUUUUGGCCUGCAACUGACACUGAGGCGCGAAAGCGUGGGGAGCAAACAGG
RNAcentral lists this ribosomal RNA (429 nucleotides) under Verrucomicrobiota bacterium. RNAcentral describes it as "Verrucomicrobia bacterium partial 16S ribosomal RNA". It matches the Rfam family "Bacterial small subunit ribosomal RNA", at positions 355 to 776 of the family's 1533-position model. The record is from RNAcentral. Lineage: Bacteria; Pseudomonadati; Verrucomicrobiota.